Molecule: non-coding RNA, 92 nt
Organism: Mycena sp. CBHHK59/15
Lineage: Eukaryota; Fungi; Basidiomycota; Agaricomycetes; Agaricales; Mycenaceae
Source: the annotation of a GenBank genome assembly
UCUCGACUAGUAUAUCGGUUAGUACACGCGCCUGUCAUUUGUUAGUCAGGUGGGGUGCGCGCGAAAGCUGGGUUCGACUCCCAGGUCGAGAG